RNA transcript from Panicum virgatum (switchgrass), 3262 nucleotides. It is a transcript of the gene named vacuolar sorting protein 3-like, with no coding region annotated. The transcript is spliced from 14 exons. Lineage: Eukaryota; Viridiplantae; Streptophyta; Magnoliopsida; Poales; Poaceae. The record is from RefSeq and is a predicted model, not a curated record.
CCAAGCAAGCCAAGCAGAGCCGAGCAGUGUUGACUGGCCGACCGAUCGACUAGUACCGGACUAGUAGCCAUGGCGCCUCGCUUCCCCUAACCCUAACCGCAAUUCCGAUGGGAUCCCAGCCGCCGGCCUCCCGCGCGGCCCUCGAGCCCCUUGCCACGCUCGACCCCGCCGCGCUCGCCGGCGUCCCCGCCUCCUCCCCUCUCACCGUCCGCGCCGCCGCCCUCUCCGCCCACCUGCUCUACCUCGGCACCGGCGGCGGCAAGCUGCUCCUCUUCUCUCUCCAGGAUCCCUCCAACCCCGAGUUCCUCCGCCUCCUCCCCAUCGGCGCCACCAUCCCCGUCUCCGCCAUCCUCCCGCUCCCCUCCGUCGCCCGCCUCCUCGUCCACGCUGACGGUCUCCUCCUCCUCGCCGAUCCGCUCCUCACCCGCCCCGUCCGCCGCCUCGGCUCCCUGCGCAACGUCGCCGCCGUCGCUGCCCGCCGCGCUUCCGCUGACCCGGGAUCCCCGUCAUGCUCCAUCGCCGUCUCCGUCGGCAAGAAGCUGCUCCGCGUGGACCUCACGCUGCAGGACGGCGACGAGCUGGAUGUGCAGACGCGCGAGAUCGCCGCCGUCGAGGGGGUCAAGGCGCUCGCUUGGGUUGACGACUCCGUCUUCGUUGCCACCGCAACUGGGUACUCGCUCUUCUCUAGCAUCGCCGGCCAUGGUGUGGCCAUAUUCACGCUCCCAGAAUCCUCGGGGCGCCCAAGGGUGAGGCCACUCUCCGGAGGUGACGAGGUGAUGCUCCUGGUGGAUAAUGUGGGCGUGGUUGUCGACAGAUUUGGCCAGCCGGUCGGGAGUAGCUUGGUGUUCAACACCACACCAGACUGUAUAGCAGAGGUGUUCCCCUAUGUGAUUGUUGCUGGUGACUCCAAGGUGGAUGUGUACAGGAGGAGAAACGGGGCGCACCUACAGACAAUUCCUGUUGCCAGGACUGGUCAAGGUGUUUUGAUUGUGGCUAGCGAUGACGAUGGGAUUGGCACGGAGCUAGUUGUGAUCGCUACGGCUUAUAAGGUUUUUUGCUACCAUAAAGUAUCCACAGUAGAGCAGAUUAAGGCAUCCUUACGAAGAAAGAACUACAAGGAAGCUAUUUCUCUGCUAGAAGAGUUUGAGACAGAUGGUGAAAUCUCAAAAGAUAUGAUCUCCUUUGUCCAUGCACAACUUGGAUUCUUGUUGUUUUUUGACUUGCGUUUUGAGGAUGCAGUGAAUCAUUUCUUGCUCUCGGAGACUAUGCAGCCAUCAGAAAUAUUUCCAUUCAUCAUGCGGGAUCCUAACCGUUGGUCAGAUUUGGUGCCAAGAAAGCGUUAUUGGGGUUUGCAUCCACCCCCUAAGCCCCUUGAAGAAGUUAUUGAUGAUGGACUGGUAAUAGUUCAACAGGCAUUGUUUCUGAAAAAGGCAGGUGUGGAUACAGUUGUGGAUGAAGAUUUCCUUUCAAACCCACCAAGUAGAACUGAUCUUUUGGAACUAGCGAUCAGAAAUAUUAUCAGGUACCUAUGUGCGUCGCGGGUGAAAAAUCUGUCUUCUCUCGAGAUGGAAGGAGUUGAUACUUUUCUGAUGUAUCUUUAUAGAGCACUUGAUCUUGUUGAUGACAUGGAGAGGCUUGCAUCAUCUCAGAAUAGCUGUGUCGUGGAUGAACUAGAAUCCCUUUUGGAUGACUCUGGACAUUUGCGGACACUUGCCUUUUUAUAUGGCAGUAAAGGAAUGCGCUCCAAAGCUCUUGCUAUAUGGCGUAUAUUGGCAAGGAAUUACAUUGCAGGUUUGUGGAAAGAUCAGUCUGAAAAUGGUUCUUGUGGAACUUCAGUUGACAAAAGGUCUGAGGAAAUUGCCGCUAGAGAAGCAGCCAAGAUCCUCAAAACAUCAUCUGAUGAGGACCUUGUUCUAGAACAUCUUGGAUGGGUGGCAGACAUUGACCAAGAGCUGGCCAUUGCAGUUUUAACAUCAGAGAUGAGGGAAAAUCAACUCUCACCAGAAAAGGUUGUCGCUGCUGUUGAUACAGAGAAGGUUGUGAUACAUCAAAGAUAUUUGCAGUGGUUGAUUGAGGAUCAGGGUUGCGAUGACCCUCACUAUCACACAUCAUAUGCUCUUUCACUGGCCAAAUCUGCUAUUGAAGCAGUUCAUAUGGAGUCUAAAUAUAGAGGGAAAGGUGAUAGAGAGAUUGAUUCUGAUGCACAAUUCAUUUAUUUGUUAAGAGAGAAGUUGCAGUUGUUUCUGCAAGCUUCAGACCUGUAUGAUCCAGAAGACGUGCUCGAUGUGAUAGCAGAAUCUGAGCUAUGGCUGGAAAAGGCAAUAUUGUAUAGGAAGAUGGGCCAAGAGAAUAUUGUACUUCAGAUACUGGCAUUACUGUGCUGCUUGUUAUGUGAUGAAGGAAACUGGAGGAUAGUGAAGCUGCCGAGCAGUAUUGUGCAGAGAUUGGUCGAGAUGAUGCCUAUAUUCAGCUUUUGGGUUUGUAUUUGGACCCUCAAAAUGGGAAAGAGCCUAUGUUUACAGCAGCUGUACGGCUUCUUCAUAAUCAUGGGGAAUCUUUGGAUCCCAUGCAAGUAUUGGAGAGAUUAUCCCCAGAUAUGCCUCUUCAGUUGGCAUCAGAUACAAUUUUACGAAUGCUGAGAGCCCGAGUGCACCAUCAUCGUCAAGGGCAGAUUGUUCACAAUUUAUCACAUGCGACAAACCUCGAUGCACGGUUGACAAGAUUGGAGGAGAGAUCGAGGCAUGUGCAGCUAACCGAUGAGAGCAUCUGCGACUCCUGUCGAGCUCGCCUCGGCACCAAGCUAUUUGUGAUGUACCCUGAUGACUCGGUCGUUUGCUACAGGUGCUAUCGGAACCAGCAAGGUGAUUCCACGUCAGGGCGCGGUCGGAGCUUGAGGAAAGAUGUUAUGUUUAAGCAGAGCUGGCUUGUCAGUAGAUAGAGAGCGAUAAUGAAGAAUGCUGAGUGGUGUGCAUCAUUAUAGAAUGAGGCUAGCAUUCUACUGCAAUUGCUCACGUUUUUUUUUCUUCACAUCUUGAAAGUCGAGAUCCGAGCUUGGAAAGGCACUCGAAUUUAACAUAGGCCCUAAGAAUGUAACGAAUGUUUGUCCAUAGUGUUUUUUUUUCUUUUUCUUCCAGAGGUUAUGAAUACGAUAGAGGAGCUGUGGUGAUGUGCAACCUGUUCUAGUACUUGUAGUGCAUUGUUGAUAGAUACAAAUAAUAUACUGCUACGAGAGAGAUGGUAAAUAGAGAUUGCUGUUGAGGAA